AAUCAACGCUGGCGGCGUGCCUCAGACAUGCAAGUCGAACGAUUAAAGCUCUCUUCGGAGAGUGUAUAGAGUGGCGCACGGGUGAGUAACACGUAAGUAAUCUACCUUUGAGUGGGGAAUAACCCGGGGAACCCGAGCUAAUACCGCAUAAUGCAGCGGCACCGCAAGGUGACAGUUGUUAAAGGAGCAAUCCGCUUAAAGAGGAGCUUGCGGCAGAUUAGCAGUUGGUAAGGUAAUGGCUUACCAAGGCUUCGAUCUGUAUCCGGCCUGAGAGGGCGGUCGGACACACUGACACUGAAUAACGGGUCAGACUCCUACGGGAGGCAGCAGUCGGGAAUUUUGGGCAAUGGGCGAAAGCCUGACCCAGCAACGCCGCGUGAAGGAU
RNAcentral lists this ribosomal RNA (385 nucleotides) under uncultured bacterium. Its description in RNAcentral is "bacterial SSU rRNA". It matches the Rfam family "Bacterial small subunit ribosomal RNA", at positions 32 to 409 of the family's 1533-position model. The record is from RNAcentral.